This 827-nucleotide ribosomal RNA is filed under the name uncultured bacterium. RNAcentral's name for it is "bacterial SSU rRNA". It matches the Rfam family "Bacterial small subunit ribosomal RNA", at positions 94 to 897 of the family's 1533-position model. The record is from RNAcentral.
AGUGGCGAACGGGUGAGUAACGCGUAGACAACCUACCUUCUAGUUGGGGACAACACCGCGAAAGUGGUGCUAAUACCGAAUGUGUUAUCUUGGGUGCAUAUCUAAGAUAAGAAAGGUGGCCUCUAUUUAUAAGCUACCACUAGAAGACGGGUCUGCGUCUGAUUAGCUAGUUGGCGGGGUAAAAGCCCACCAAGGCGACGAUCAGUAGCCGGUCUGAGAGGAUGAACGGCCACACUGGGACUGAGACACGGCCCAGACUCCUACGGGAGGCAGCAGUGGGGAAUCUUCCGCAAUGGACGAAAGUCUGACGGAGCAACGCCGCGUGAGUGAAGAAGGCCUUCGGGUUGUAAAGCUCUGUUAUUGGGGACGAACGUUUCUUAUGUGAAUAAUGUAGGGAAGUGACGGUACCCAAGGAGGAAGCCACGGCUAACUACGUGCCAGCAGCCGCGGUAAUACGUAGGUGGCAAGCGUUGUCCGGAAUUAUUGGGCGUAAAGCGCGCGUAGGUGGGAUAGUAAGUCUACUUUAAAAGUGCGGGGCUCAACCCCGUGAUGGGGUGGAAACUGCUAUUCUUGAGUGCAGGAGAGGAAAGCGGAAUUCCCAGUGUAGCGGUGAAAUGCGUAGAUAUUGGGAGGAACACCAGUGGCGAAGGCGGCUUUCUGGACUGUGUCUGACACUGAGGCGCGAAAGCUAGGGGAGCGAACGGGAUUAGAUACCCCGGUAGUCCUAGCCGUAAACGAUGGGUACUAGGUGUAGGGGGUAUCGACCCCCCCUGUGCCGGAGUUAACGCAAUAAGUACCCCGCCUGGGGAGUACGGCCGCAAGGUGAA